GCGAGCUGAUCUCACUCACCGUCAGACACCAUGGAGCUGGGAAGCAGAUAACGACUCAGUGGCAAAUGUCCUUCCCCUGAGUGUUAUUCUACAUACGGGAGGCAUGGCACAAAAAUGCCCACUUCCAG
Long non-coding RNA from Manis pentadactyla (Chinese pangolin), 128 nucleotides. RefSeq lists it as uncharacterized. The transcript has 2 exons. Lineage: Eukaryota; Metazoa; Chordata; Mammalia; Pholidota; Manidae. The record is from RefSeq and is a predicted model, not a curated record.